RNAcentral lists this transfer RNA (74 nucleotides) under Candidatus Levyibacteriota bacterium. RNAcentral's name for it is "tRNA-Arg". It matches the Rfam family "tRNA". Rfam says of the family: Transfer RNA (tRNA) molecules are approximately 80 nucleotides in length. Their secondary structure includes four short double-helical elements and three loops (D, anti-codon, and T loops). Lineage: Bacteria; Candidatus Levyibacteriota. The record is from RNAcentral.
GUUCUCGUAGCUCAGUUGGAUAGAGCGCAACAUUGCGGAUGUUGAGGCCGGAGGUUCGAAUCCUCUCGAGAACA